Molecule: long non-coding RNA, 2805 nt
Organism: Oncorhynchus keta (chum salmon)
Lineage: Eukaryota; Metazoa; Chordata; Actinopteri; Salmoniformes; Salmonidae
Exons: 2
Source: RefSeq, a predicted model, not a curated record
UAACGUUACUAUGCUAGGUAUAGCUAUCCAAGAAAAUGCUUAAUAUGCAUCGACUUAUUUGAUUACAUCACUGUACAUCGGACUUUAGUGUUGCCAAACGAUAUUUUACUCUGCGGUACAUAUCAUCCUACUGAAAAUGGGCACUUGUCCCACAAUGUUGUGGUAGUUAACUAGCCCAAUAAUGGACCUGCUAAAUUAACCUUAGUCCUUCUGUUUAAGGCGAAUUGACUCAUCUAAACGUGAAUCAUUCUUAACCCUAUUGUUGUGUUCCGGUCGAAUUGGACCGAUUGUAGUCUGAAGAAUGUAGUUUUAUUAUUUUUGUUUAACUAGGCAAGUCAGUUACGAACAUUCUUAUUUACAAUUUACAGUGGUCAACUGCCUUGUUCAGGGGCAGAACGGCAGAUGUUUACCUGCUAAAUCGGGGAUUCGAUCCAGCAAACUUUAGUUUAUUGGCCUACCGCUCUAACCACUAGGCUACCUACCUACUUACUGGCCCACCGCUCUAACCACUAGGCUACCUGCCGCCCAUUUAGUUCAUUUAAUCUGAUUGUCAUAAGGUUCCAUGACUGUCCACAUAGGGCAUCUGAACACACAAAAUACAUUUAAGAUUUUCUUAAAAUUUGGGGUGUGUUUUAUUUAACUUUUGUACACCUGUGGUGUUCCUGGUCAGAAAUGACCGGUCAUUAGAAAUGAAUGGGUGAGACUACAAUUAGUGUAUACAAUUGAGUUCAGGCACCUGCCCAUUCAUCAGAUGGACACACUUCCUCUCCCAGACCCCCACAUGCAUGCGUUUCACACACCUCACUCCCCUUUUUUUUUUCCAUGGAAAACCCAAUGGGAACCUUUCCCCAAUAUAAUCUUUCCCUCACGGGAUCCACACAUGUUGGCAUUCUCACAAACAAUCGCAACAUUGUUUCAAUAAUAUAUAGAACUUUUCUUGCAGCUCUGGUAUAAUUAAGCUUUUUUGAGGCCUUGCUCACAAUUCGUUCUGUGGCAGCACAAUGACCAAACGAUACACUGUAUGUGAGGCUCUUGAUCAUGACAAUGGUGAGGAGGAGAGAGGCCAGGAAACAGGAAACUGACAGUGAAGAUACAUUAGGAGGAAAUGUCAGAAGUUGAUGACACAGAAUAUGAUCCAGACCAAGAGACAACCGAUGUGGAACAAUCCAGGGAUGAGGAAGAGGGCCCUGCUGAGGUUGUUACAUUCUGGUCAAACAAUGGGAAUUUGUCCUGGUCUUCAUCCCCACCUGAGAGGAGAGGUCGGCUGAAAAUGUUAUCAGGAUGACCCCAGGGCCAACGAGAUACGCCAUAUCCUGGGUUGAUGACAUAAAAUCAUGCUUCGAACUGUUCCUGACAGAGUCAAUCAAAACCACAGUGAUAAACAUGACCAAUUUGGAGGGGGGACGCGUUUACAAAGACAACUGAAAGGAGGUAGACCGGACAGACGUAAAAGCAUACGUGGAUCUCUUGAUUGUGUACAGAUCCAGAAACAAACCUACCACCAGUUUAUGGGAUGCAGAGUCUGGUCGGGCAAUUAUUAUUUACUUUCUUAAAUUGGCUUUGACAACCGUGAUACAAGACCAGGCCACUUUCAACAAGACAAGCUGGCAACUAUCAGAGGUUUGGCACAAGUGGGUGGAGCGCCUGCCACUCAUCUAUAACCCAAGUCCAGGCAUCACAGUGGAUGAGUGGUCGCUUUUAGGGGACGCUGCCCAUUCAAACAGCACAUGCCAAGCAAACCGCCUAAAUAUGGAAUCAAGAUAUGGGCAGCAUGUGAUGCUAGGACACGUUAUGCCUGGAACAUGCAGGUUUACAUCGGGAAACCUGGUGACGGUGUUCCCGAAAGGUACCAGGGGAAGCGGGUGGUCCUGGAAAUGACUGCAGGUUUCCAGGGACACAACAUAACACGUGACAAUUUCUUCACCUCAUGCUCUUGGUCAGGAGCUGCUCUCAAUAAAAAUGACCGUGGUGGGGACGGUCAGAAGGAACAAGCCUCAUUUGCCUCACAACCAAGGACAGGGAUUGUUUUUUCCCUCCAAGUUUGCCUUCACCGAUACACAAACACUUGUGUCCUAAUGCCCGAGGGAAAAAGAAGAAUGUGCUCCUGAUGACAACUUUGCGUAGGGAUGCCGCUGUGAGUACCAGGGAGGACAGGAAGCACAACCCUGUCCUGGAUUACAACAGGAACAAAGGGGGAGUUGACAACCUCGAUAAGGUCACUGGCACAUACUCUUGUAAGAGGAUGACAGCACGUUGGCCCAUGGUGGUGUUCUUCAACAUCCUAGACGUGUCGGUCUACAACAGGUUUGUGAUGUGGAUGGAGGUGAAGCCAGGGGAAUUUCUUCAAGAGGAUACUAUUCCUAGAAGAGUUGGGGAAAGCCAUGGUGGCACCCCUCAUUCAAAGGCACCAACAUCUUCCUCGAACACCAUCCUCUGCUGGAUUGGUGAGAGAUAUACAAAGAUCAGAAGCAAGAUCUCCGUCUGCCAGAGACAGAAGAGACAAAAGGGAAAAAGGUGCAAUCUGUGUGCAACAAGAGUUGUCAAAACAAGCAUUGUGCCGUAAAUGCAGUGCAUAUAUUUGCAAGGCACAUGCAUCAACCACCACGUAUUGGCCAACAUGUACAUGAGAGCACACAAAAUGGAACCACCAUUGAUUGUUAGUAAUACGGUUAUUGUUCCUGUUGUUCUUUAAUGUGUUCAGAUGUUAAUUUUGUAAUAUGGUAAAGUUCUCAUGUGUAGUUUUGGGCCUCUGUCCUUUCUUUACUAAUAAAAUCAUACCGGGUCAGUUUUGACCAGGAACACAGA